This is a small nucleolar RNA of Dioscorea cayenensis subsp. rotundata (Guinea yam), 106 nucleotides long. Lineage: Eukaryota; Viridiplantae; Streptophyta; Magnoliopsida; Dioscoreales; Dioscoreaceae. The record is from RefSeq and is a predicted model, not a curated record.
AACCCAUGUUGUGGACACUUCCACAAAAGGUUCUUGAAUAGGUCCCAUGUCUCAAACAAAUUUUCAAGUUGCAUCUGAACAAAUAAAGAUAUCUUGUUAUGAAGCU